GAUGAACGCUGGCGGCGUGCCUAAUACAUGCAAGUCGAGCGAACAGACGAGGAGCUUGCUCCUCUUACGUUAGCGGCGGACGGGUGAGUAACACGUGGAUAACCUACCUAUAAGACUGGGAUAACUUCGGGAAACCGGAGCUAAUACCGGAUAAUAUAUUGAACCGCAUGGUUCAAUAGUGAAAGACGGUUUUGCUGUCACUUAUAGAUUGAUCCGCGCCGCAUUAGCUAGUUGGUAAGGUAACGGCUUACCAAGGCAACGAUGCGUAGCCGACCUGAGAGGGUGAUCGGCCACACUGGAACUGAGACACGGUCCAGACUCCUACGGGAGGCAGCAGUAGGGAAUCUUCCGCAAUGGGCGAAAGCCUGACGGAGCAACGCCGCGUGAGUGAUGAAGGUCUUCGGAGCGUAAAACUCUGUUAUUAGGGAAGAACAAAUGUGUAAGUAACUAUGCACGUCGUGACGGUACCUAAUCAGAAAGCCACGGCUAACUACGUG
RNAcentral lists this ribosomal RNA (497 nucleotides) under uncultured bacterium. RNAcentral's name for it is "partial 16S ribosomal RNA". It matches the Rfam family "Bacterial small subunit ribosomal RNA", at positions 28 to 507 of the family's 1533-position model. The record is from RNAcentral.